UGACAAAAGAACGGGGACUUGACGGACGGCCGCCCGCCUACAAGGACGCGGCCGAAGCCGUCAAGUCUUUGCAUGACAAAAACAAUACUUUACCACUUUCAUUACACGCCCGUCUUCACGUAAGAUUUUUUUUUAUUGGGGGGGGGCGUGUUGGGAUUAAGCUAACUAAAAGCAAUUAUAUUCCAUUGGCGGAUGUUUUUCAUUAAACCUUCAGGAAAUGAUGAUUAUAUUUGAUUGAAACCUGCGUUUGUACAGGAAAAUUUCGUAGUGUCUAGUAAGGUCACACUUACAGGGCGCCAGCCUGCGACCAAACGGUCGCAUUUUGCGACUAAAAGCCAGUACGAGUACUAUUUUUCAUCUACAUGCACAUGCUCGACCAGUACGACAGACUAUAAGGGCCAAAAUAAAAACCAAUAAUAGGGAAUGGGACGUACUACGUCAUUGUUUGGACGCGCCUCCAUGCUGGCAAUAUGAUUCACUUCCGGGUCGGCAGACUCAAUGCGGAUUGUAACGUGUGGUCGUGCUAAGCUAACUCUUUCGGUGUUUUAGAAAGAAAUUAUGGGUGUGUAUUGUUGUGUUACCGGGUGCAACAGCUUCUCCUACGACUAAAAAAAGGGCGAGGAAAACUGGACUCACUUUUCACCGUUUUCCUGCAUGGAGGACCAAAUAUCAGAUCGCGAAGGCACGACUGAUGGCUGGAUUGCAGCGGUUCGUCGGAAAAGCAUUUCUUAUGAUCAUAUUUCUGCUGGAAUGAGAGUAUUCCCCUCAUCUCUACUCUUGAAAACCUGCAUAUGAAAUGCUGACAACACAUCCCGAUUGGUCACCAUAUCUCUUCUUGGGUUAUUCUGAGGUCAGGCGCACCACAUCGGAGCGUUAUGAGAGGUUGGAAAGGCGAAGAGUGCACGCUGAAACUUCAGUUUGCUCUGCUCUUACAAACACGAUCCUAAGUGUUGUUGUGAAAAGUCAAUAAAAUAUGAAUACCAAAACAUGA
Corythoichthys intestinalis (scribbled pipefish) is the source of this 991-nucleotide long non-coding RNA. RefSeq lists it as uncharacterized. NCBI's taxonomy places the organism in Eukaryota, Metazoa, Chordata, Actinopteri, Syngnathiformes, Syngnathidae. The transcript is spliced from 2 exons. The record is from RefSeq and is a predicted model, not a curated record.